ACUCCUACGGGAGGCAGCAGUGAGGAAUAUUGGUCAAUGGACGCAAGUCUGAACCAGCCAUGUCGCGUGCAGGAAGACUGCCCUAUGGGUUGUAAACUGCUUUUAUACGGGAAGAAUGUGACCCUCGUGAGGGUUUUUGCCGGUACCGUAUGAAUAAGCAUCGGCUAACUCCGUGCCAGCAGCCGCGGUAAUACGGAGGAUGCAAGCGUUAUCCGGAUUCAUUGGGUUUAAAGGGUGCGUAGGCGGAAUGGUAAGUCAGGGGUGAAAGUUUGCGGCUCAACCGUAAAAUUGCCUUUGAUACUGUCAUUCUUGAGUACAUUUGAGGUAGGCGGAAUGUGGCGUGUAGCGGUGAAAUGCUUAGAUAUGCCACAGAACACCGAUUGCGAAGGCAGCUUACUAAACUGUAACUGACGCUGAUGCACGAAAGCGUGGGGAUCGAACAGGAUUAGAUACCCU
RNAcentral lists this ribosomal RNA (456 nucleotides) under uncultured bacterium. RNAcentral's name for it is "bacterial SSU rRNA". It matches the Rfam family "Bacterial small subunit ribosomal RNA", at positions 335 to 788 of the family's 1533-position model. The record is from RNAcentral.